Oncorhynchus kisutch (coho salmon) is the source of this 5912-nucleotide long non-coding RNA. RefSeq lists it as uncharacterized. Lineage: Eukaryota; Metazoa; Chordata; Actinopteri; Salmoniformes; Salmonidae. The transcript has 6 exons. The record is from RefSeq and is a predicted model, not a curated record.
UAUUUAUACCUGUGUUUUCUGUCUGUCUGUUUCCAGUUUGUCUUGUUUGUUCAAGCCUGUCAGCGGUUUGGCUCAGCACCUGUUUGUACCUAGUCUAGCAUUUUCCUCGUCCUCCUGGUUGUUGACCUUUGCCUGUCCUGACCCUGUGCCCGCCCGACCACUGCCUGGCUCUGAGCCUGCCUGCCAUCCUGUACCUUUGCUCCACCUCUGGAUUACCGACCUCUGCCUGACCUGACCCUGAGCCUGCCUGCCGUCCUGUACCUUUGCUCCACCUCUGGAUUACCGACCUCUGCCUGACCUGACCCUGAGACUGCCGGCUGUCCUGUACCUUGGCCUCUUCUCUGGAUUGUCGACCCCUGCCUUGACUUGUUGUUUUCUUGCCCCUAUGGUCACAAACAUGGUUACUUCAGUCUGCACUUGGGUCUUACCUUGAUUCCUGAUAGAGGAGGUGCUUCCACAAUAAUGCGAUUUGUACCGCAUACAGUAUUGGAUUCUUCACACACCACAGUAAGAUAUUAUCCCAUUACGCUACCUUUUCAUGCUUUAAAAAAAUAAAAUAAUCUAUUAAUACACACUUUGCUUUUUAUACUUAUAAGACCACCAGGCUUGAUUGAGCUGUUUUGUCUUGUAGUAAUGUGGUGCGUGCCUGUAUUUCCUUUAAACCUUGUUAUUUUACAAAAACAUAUCCUGUUUUGUUAAGUAGGUGCCCAACAUAACAACAGGUGGUGUGUUGGACACAGUAGCCCAGAGCCUGUCUGCAUUCCUGAUUCUGUAAUGGUUAGCUUACCUGUGUCCUCUUGAUUGAAGCUCAGAACCACUUGUUUCGAACAUGGUCCAGUGUUAUCAGUUGCUGUGCUGGUCAAUGGACAGUUCGUUACCUCUGUCAAUAUAUGUAGCUUAAAGUAAGGUUUGUACUUGUACUUUUGCAGUCAAGAUGGCGACGCAACAAUAAUACCCAUUUACAAUAGGCCUAGAACUAAAAAUACAUACAGCCAAAUGAGAGAUGUAUACAUAAUUUGAAUAGCACGACAAUGAAGUCCAUUUUGCCUGUGACGAGUAUGAAUUAGGCUAUUUGAGGUUUGAAUCCUAACCAACCUGCCUACACAGUUUGAAGUAUAAUACUGACAUAGCUAUUGUAGGUCAAAGUGGAGUGCUGGUAGAGCAUGGAUGGAAUAGGCAUUGUGGUGGUCAUGUGAAUUUCCUUUUUCACCUUCAGACCAAUGCCUAUUCUCACUUAAUAUUUUUUGUUUUUAAUUUCCUGUUUUUUUUGUUACACUGGAAGAUGAUUAUGCAACAUUAUUAUACACCUUAGCACGUGCUCUCCUUAUGAACCUUCACAAUGUUGUGCAUUUUUAAUUUAGUGUAUUGAUAAGAUCCCAGCUCAUAAUCAAAUUGUCAAGGGCAAAGUAACAGACAGAAGCAAAUAUUUACUAUGCGAUUGAUUACACAAUGUGGCUUGCUAGAGGACUGCAGGAGUGCAAAAUAUGGAUGAGCUGUUCUCAAUGGAAGGGUUCUGAAAUAUUCUCUCUCACCGAGGUGUGAAUGUACUUUAUCAUAGUCAUCCACCUCGGUGGAAACGACUUGGGGCACACAAAGAGGACCGCCCUGGUGCGUCAGAUGCCAGCUGAUUUUGGAGGUAGUCCAUCCGAAUGUUCCUUGGGACAAUGGUGGUCUACUCUGACGUCACACAGUGGAGGAGUUGAAUGUUCCGGUGGGAGAAGGACAUCAAGUGCAUAGAGCUGGCCCGGCGCUCUGUCAACCAGCUGGUGUUUGCGUUUCUCUGUGACAGGCGCAUGCCCACAAUCUGCCACUUUGCCAUAAAUCACUGUGUCCCUGGGCAGUAUUGUAGGGAAGGGUUUCCCAAACUCAUUUCUAGGGGCCUGUCAUGCCAAAUAGUGUCCACCGGCCAAAUAGUGUCUCCCUCUGCUAGCAGGCUACUGUAACGGUUAUUGCAGCUUUCUGUUUGUAUGUAGCUUGCACUUCAAUGGCAUCCCUCGAGGAGAUAUUUUACCAUUCCAACCAGGCGAAAUGUUCUGAAGACACCACUGAUCUCGACAAGAGGCGCAACAUUCAGAGAAAAUCACAAUUCGGGGUAACGUUAAGCAGUUUUAUUAGAUAACUGGACGGCUUUAGCUAUGUACAACCAUUUUCCAUCUAACGUUAGCUAGUUGCUAGCUAUACAUAAUGUUCAGUGGAGGCUGCUGAGGGGAGGAUGGUUGAUAAUGUCUGGAAUGGAGUAAAUGGAAUCUAUCAAACACGUUGAUACCAUUCAAUUAACUCCAUUCCAGCCAUUAUUAUGAGUCGUCCUUCCCUCAGCAGCCUCCUCUGAUAUAGUUAUAUGUUGAGGUGUCUAGCUAUAAGUUAAACCUGAUCAAUCAAUCACUAGACAGCCACAGAGAUAGAGGGGGGGGGGAUUGAGAAAGGAUGAAAGAGAGAGGUGGGAAGAGGUUAGAAGACAGGCAGGGAGAGAGAAACAGAGAGGGAAAGACAGCAGUGUAAAUGUACUUAGACUUGAGUAUUUCAGCAUCUCUUCCAACUUGUUAGGUAAUCAUAUCUACCUACGGGGGAAGGAUGGCCAGCCACACAGGAGGGUGAUUUUUGUUAAGGAGGAGAAGGAGGCCGUGCUGACUGUGAUGCUUGCUGGCCAAUUCGGAGUGAAGCGCCUGAUUGCCAAAAUCAACCUACGCUUCUUCUGACAGGGAAUUGUCAAGUCAGUACCUGUCCAGCCUUCCAGAAGUUUUUGAGAGGGCGAAGACUGUGGCGCCGGAGUUGAAGCACAUCAAAGUUGUUUUACCAUGGCACAUGAUCGGGAUGGACCUCAUCGGCUCCUUCACGAAAUCCAGGAAAGGCAACAGCUGGUGUCUGACGGCGACCGAUCACUUUACCAAGUGGAUGGAGGCAAUACCCAUUAAGUUCAGUAAAGGAAGAGAACGUGCUUAACUCUAAAUACCCAUCUGCAACCCAUUAAAAAGGGUGCUUGGAACCAAAAAUAGAUUUUAGUUUUUUUAUGAUACAAAACUAGUGAGACCACCUCCAAGGAUAUGGUGGGCAUCUUCAACACCCACUAUUCUCCUGAGGUCAUCUUGAGUGUCCGAGGUCAGGUACGGAUUGUUAUAGGUUAUAUUCUGUCACCAAUGGUUUGUUUUGUUUAUUUUGUUACAAUCUGUUUUUGUUUUUCCAUGGUAGAUAAUCAGACAUAUUUCAAUAUCUUACAUUAUCAAUAGAUAUCACUUUCCUACCCCCCUCCUCCAGGUUUGGAGAAUGGACCAACCAGGCCAUUGUGAUUGACUUAGUGUUGUUUGUCUAUUGCUAUUUUUGCUUAACGGUCUUUCAGAUCACUGAAACCCCACCUGAUGUGAUGGAAGUUGUCGAAACCAGAUCAGGACGCCUUUGAGAAUUACCUUCAGGCACGGACUGAGAAGGAUGUGGAGGUGAGACUGAACAUGGACAAGGCGCAGGAAAAACAGAAGGAGAGCUACCGGAGCAGAGUCAAGAAUUGGACCAAGUGCUACGACAUCCGGGCAAAUGACACGAAAGGAAGGCAGAGACCUUGGAAACCUCGCUGCUCCUAGCUGUGGUCCCGAUCUGUUAAAGGUUACCUAGGGUUACCUAGGAAGCUAACUAUCUUCUGCAGUUGGACGGUCUACCACUGGAAGCAUUGACGCCCUACACUUAAGUGAAGCCCAAUUUACAAAGGAGGUUAAGCUUUGGUUGACAUUUGAGAAAGCAAGAAAUGGUUGUUAUACUAAGCUUACAAAAAUGUACCUCUUCAAUUUACCUCUCCAAAUGACUUUAGGACCAUCGACUGUCCGAGCCCCCCAGGAGGUAUCCCAUCUACCAGAACCAGUGAGUUCGGAUCAGUCUGAUUCUCUGUGCUCUGAGUCGGAGGGGGACUAGCUUGAGAGCUAGGGGUUUUGGCCAACACCCAGAUCCACCUGAUGUCCUCCAUUACCAACCAUUCUUUUCAUUACGUCAUCUACAGCUACGGUUAUCAUUAUCUGCUAAGAAAGCUGUCUUGCGCUAUCAUACUGGGCACAUAAUAUGUGAGAGACACAGAUGAACUAAGAACAUUAGCACUGCAAAUCCUCUGAACAAAGUGAACAGCAGUGCCUGGACUUUGCAGUCUCCUUCUUCAAGUCCCCCCUUCUGAGACUGGGUGCCUGUUGAGAACAAGUGACAGGCAGAAUCACAGCAACCACCUCCUAUAUUCCACACACCAGAAUGAUGUAUUUAGUCUAUGAUUGCCAUGUGAAAAUAAAUUAAUGACACAACUGUACCAAAAAAUAUCUGCGUUUCUGUGUUACAAUCUUAAAUUUUGACAGGUUGGUUUUCACAACAUGUUCAUUGCUGUAAGGUAUCCUUUGAUGGUAUUUAUUUGUUCCUCAUUAGUCAUUGAAUGUAGUAAAUCCUGCCGUAGGGAAAGCGUGCAUCUCACAGGUGAGGGAAACGACCUCUUCCUUGAGUUUGAGAGCUGAUCCCUCUUUUGUUCUAGCAAGACCUGUGCUCUUGGGGUAAUUCUCAAAAUGCAUUUAUUAAAAAAAAUUUAAAGGAAGUGUCAGGGAACAUUAUUUUUUUACAUGUAUCUAACCUUUGUGUAGUGACAGUCUCCAUAUAUACUGUACUUCCAUAAAUGUUUUAUACUGGUAUAAGGGGACUUUAUGUAUUAACCUAUCAAGAUCAAAUAUUGUAGUUGGGCAACAUAUGAGAUGUGAAUAUAAAACAUUUCAUUCUGAAGUCGGAGUGUACUUUCUCUUGAUUCAGCUCAAAUAACGGCGCCAUUGAUUUAAAGAAAUGUUAUGACAUUUUUUUACGUGGUUGCGUCAUAUUUCUUUGCAUACUUUCCAUUGAAGCUUGCAUCACUGCAUGCUUCAAAAUAUGUACAAACGGAGUUUGCAUUUUGAGAAGUGCCCUCCAUGCUCCAUUUCGCAUGCUUUCAUUUGGAAUCGUACUCCGAUCCUCCCGUGCUCCAAUUUUCGUUGUAUGCAUUUUGAGAAUUACCCAUCGACUUUGACAGACCAUUUAAAUUUCUUGAAUCCUUCCUUCCAAAAUGAUUUUGUUCAUUUACUCAAUAGGGAUUUCACGUUUAUUUAUCUUGCUUGGUUAAAAUACAAUACUCUAAAACAGUCGAUUUGUUGACUCAUUUAAUCACGUUAAAACCCAUUUCCUUUUCUUUUGACUGUGUGCUACUACAGGCGGCAACCUGAUCUCAUAGCAUUUCUUAUUAUUCUUUAUGGAUAUUUUUAUGUGUAAGUAUUCAUUUGUGGAUGUCCAUCCCUUUCACAUAAUAUGUUAUGAGUUACAAUUCAUAUGGUAUGUUACGAAUUGCAGUUGUAUGAUAUGUUAUGAACGCAAUACGUAGGAUAUGUUGCCAAUUCCAAUUUGUUGUAACUAACGUUAGCUAGGUGUCUAAUGCUAACGUUAGCUAGGCUAGGGGUUACGGUUAGGAGUGAGGUGAAAGGGUUAAGGUUAGGAGUUAUGUUCAAUGUUAGUGUUAGGGGAAGUGUUAGCUAACAUGCAAAGUAGCUAAAAAAGUAGUAAGUAGAUGCAAAGCUGGUAAUUGGACAAAAUGCUAGUUGUCCAUGAGAUUUGAACACUCAAUUUUUGGGUUGCUAGACAUUUGCUUAUACGACUAACCAACCUCAUUUUUGCAUGAAAGGAGAAUUUUCCUCUUUCUGAAGUCAAUCUAAAUGUUUUAUGUAAAUGAAAUGUUAUAGUCGGUUCCAGACACUUUUUCUGUGAUUUGGCUUGUUUUUGAUAAACUUACCCCAGCUUCAAUUCACUUUCUCAUUGCUCUUUGUACAGCAUCAGGGAAUGCAAAAGACAUGAUUAAACUCCAAAAAUACAUAAACACAUCCUUUUAGUAAUGGACAUGCUCUCUUUAUAGUGAAGUCUAGGUUGUGCCCUGAUACUAC